GGCGUGCUUACACAUGCAGUCGACCGAUGAAGCUGUGCUUGCACAGUGGAUUAGUGGCGAACGGGUGAGUAACACGUGAGUAACCUGCCCUUCACUUUGGGAUAACUCCGAGAAAUCGGGGCUAAUACCGGAUAUGACUACUGGCCGCAUGGUUGGUGGUGGAAAGUUUUUCGGUGAGGGAUGGGCUCGCGGCCUAUCAGGUUGUUGGUGAGGUAGUGGCUCACCAAGGCGAUGACGGGUAGCCGGCCUGAGAGGGCGACCGGCCACACUGGGACUGAGACACGGCCCAGACUCCUACGGGAGGCAGCAGUGGGGAAUAUUGCACAAUGGGCGAAAGCCUGAUGCAGCGACGCCGCGUGGGGGAUGACGGCCUUCGGGUUGUAAACCUCUUUCAGCAAGGAAGAAGCGAAAGUGACGGUACUUGCAGAAGAAGCGCCGGCUAACUACGUGCCAGCAGCCGCGGUAAU
This 467-nucleotide ribosomal RNA is filed under the name uncultured bacterium. RNAcentral describes it as "bacterial SSU rRNA". It matches the Rfam family "Bacterial small subunit ribosomal RNA", at positions 41 to 524 of the family's 1533-position model. The record is from RNAcentral.